Non-coding RNA from Cucurbita pepo subsp. pepo (vegetable marrow), 1009 nucleotides. The record is from RefSeq and is a predicted model, not a curated record. Lineage: Eukaryota; Viridiplantae; Streptophyta; Magnoliopsida; Cucurbitales; Cucurbitaceae.
CAAAGAUUAGGUUCAGAACGUCCGAAAAUUUUCCCGCGAUAUCAAGAUGGAGAAAAGGAUGAAAGACUCCCAAACUCCGCAGAGAGAUCAAGCGGCAAAUCGUAGAUCGAGGAAACCUCUGAAGAUCGCCAAAUACUUGACUGCCACAUUUUCACUUUUCCGAUGAUAAAAUCCAGCAAAGUUCGAAGCAAGACUUCUCUUCGAUUUCUGUUGUCUCAGACGUCAAUCAAAUUCCAGAUAUCGAUCGAUGUUUGUUGCAUGAUGUUAAUCCGGCUCUUUCUGCUUGCUGCGGGAGCUCUCUUAUCCCCGAUCUUUCUCCAUCUUCAAUUGUCACUUUUGAUAAUGGACAGCUUGACAAAGUUCCAGUUAAUUUUUCUGGAUCUAAUGAUUUGGAUGAAAGUAGCGCGGGUUCAGUAGGAGCAGAGAUUGCUGUAAAUUCUUUAAGUCGUGCUCUAACUCAAGUCCUGCAAUCCACGGAUGUUGAUCAUCAGGCCAAGAAGCUUAUAGAUGCAUCCAUAAGGAUCAUUGUAGACGAUUUCCUUGCUAUACCUCAAGAUCGAGACCAGAUUUUUCAACUUAUUUCUGCCAAAAGUCAAGUUCUCUCUAUAUCCUUAUUCUUGUGGAUCAUCGUCUUGGCAUUAGCUUUCUUUUUCGAUUCGGAAGUCAAGAGCUCUUUCAUCGGGCCAUUGCCAACUUAAACUUGCUGUUCGAGCAUCAGAGCAUUGUUGCAUAUCUUUAGCAACUCCUUCCAGGUGCAUAAUAUGCAAAUCAAGUAUGCUAUUAGAAAAAGCUCAACAGAAAACGAUGACCUAAACAAUGAAAUCAUAUGACUGAUUGAAGAGAACAUGUCAGUGGUUGGCACAACUCAUACUGAUAAUGACAAAGUUUACUGCCAGCUGAAUGUGAGUAAGAAUGGGAAGUCUCUAUUUACAUAACAUAAAGGAUUGGAAUGAAGAACCGGCGCUCAGGUUUGCCUUUGGCGGCUCCAUUUUCCCUGAAUUAAUAAGGU